RNAcentral lists this ribosomal RNA (500 nucleotides) under uncultured bacterium. Its description in RNAcentral is "bacterial SSU rRNA". It matches the Rfam family "Bacterial small subunit ribosomal RNA", at positions 29 to 517 of the family's 1533-position model. The record is from RNAcentral.
AGUGAACGCUGGCGGCAGGCCUAAUACAUGCAAGUCGAACGGCAGCACAGUGGAGCUUGCUCCAUGGGUGGCGAGUGGCGGACGGGUGAGGAAUACAUGGGAAUCUGCCCAGUCGUGGGGGAUAACGUAGGGAAACUUACGCUAAUACCGCAUGCGCCCUUCGGGGGAAAGCCGGGGACCUUCGGGCCUGGCGCGAUUGGAUGAGCCCAUGUCGGAUUAGCUAGUUGGCGGGGUAAUGGCCCACCAAGGCGACGAUCCGUAGCUGGUCUGAGAGGAUGAUCAGCCACACUGGAACUGAGACACGGUCCAGACUCCUACGGGAGGCAGCAGUAGGGAAUAUUGGACAAUGGGCGCAAGCCUGAUCCAGCCAUGCCGCGUGAGUGAAGAAGGCCCUCGGGUUGUAAAGCUCUUUUGUCCGGAAAGAAAAGCGCCGGGUUAAUACCCUGGUGUCCUGACGGUACCGGAAGAAUAAGCACCGGCUAACUUCGUGCCAGCAGCCG